This 98-nucleotide unclassified non-coding RNA is filed under the name Streptococcus equinus. Lineage: Bacteria; Bacillati; Bacillota; Bacilli; Lactobacillales; Streptococcaceae. The record is from RNAcentral.
UGUUAUACUAUCCCUAGUUAGAUUUCUCCAGUUAUGGAGAUAGAAGGUUUCAGACUUUAGGACAGAAUGGAACCAUUCGAUACAGGCAUUAUCUGCUG